Molecule: transfer RNA, 71 nt
Filed under: Cordylochernes scorpioides
Lineage: Eukaryota; Metazoa; Arthropoda; Arachnida; Pseudoscorpiones; Chernetidae
Description: tRNA-Gly
Rfam family: tRNA
About the family: Transfer RNA (tRNA) molecules are approximately 80 nucleotides in length. Their secondary structure includes four short double-helical elements and three loops (D, anti-codon, and T loops). Further hydrogen bonds mediate the characteristic L-shaped molecular structure. tRNAs have two regions of fundamental functional importance: the anti-codon, which is responsible for specific mRNA codon recognition, and the 3' end, to which the tRNAs corresponding amino acid is attached (by aminoacyl-tRNA synthetases). tRNAs cope with the degeneracy of the genetic code in two manners: having more than one tRNA (with a specific anti-codon) for a particular amino acid; and 'wobble' base-pairing, i.e. permitting non-standard base-pairing at the 3rd anti-codon position.
Source: RNAcentral
CCAUCGGUGGUUAAGUGGUAGAAUGCUCGCCUGCCACGCGGGCGGACCGGGUUCGAUUCCCGGCCGAUGCA